GUAACCACUAUUUGUCCAGAAAUUAAAAAUUACAUGGUCCAGUGUAACGGAUUAAUCAUGGGGAUUAAUGGAUUAAGGAGCCAAUUUUGGUUCUCGCAGACAGUUGUACUGGCAAAUCGGUUGGGUCACAAGUCUCAACAACUAAUCGAGGCUAUCUGCACCAUCGGUUAAAAUUAUGGGUCAAAUAUAGUGAUACAGCAAAGGUUCAUUUUAAAGCAAGUUGAAGCGCAUGCUAAUAUGUACCAAAUUAGCUGUUGCACCAAGAUCUGCAAGUCCCUACGAUUGGACAAGAGAUAGAUAAACAUUCAAGGGGCGUCCAUUAAUCACGUGAUCGAUUUUUUAAGUAUUUUGGGUACACAUCUCCUCACCUUAGUGAUACAUAGUGAUAUUCAAAAUUACCCUCCCUGCCCCCACAAAGCAUUACAUGUAUUUUUAGCUAUGAGCAAAAAUGUAAACUUUUUUCUUUUUUUUUUUGAAAAUGUUUGGAUUUUUUUUAAUUCAGGCAAAAAAUUAAUACACAUGUAAUCUUAAUAUACCCCCCCCCCCUUUUACCUAAAAACCUCAUGUUAUUAAUGGACGCCCCCCAAAUUAACUGGCACAUCAUUCAUUUGUUCAAGUUUCUGACGAGGUGAUCAUGGCACGAUAGGCUAGAUAGUGUACUUAUAUUAUAAGGUCGACUCUAGACAAAGAAAGAAUUCUACUGAGCUCGAUCCUCAAGAAGAAAGGAAACUAGUUUGGGCCCAUUCUGCAAAACGAGUGCCUCCUACACGAAGGACUGAAAAUAGAAAGACAGAAAGGAUUGGGAAUGCAGAUGAUUGAUGUGAUAAUAGAAAAUACAGGAAACUGAAAGUCAAAGCAAGGAAACGGAAAUUUGGAAAGAAUAGUUCAUAAGAGUGUAUAAAAAUGGGAAAAAGGUUUUAGUUGAGUAUUUGUGCAGAUAUUUGGAUUACUCGAGCCUCGAAUAGAUCUAUUUACACUCGACAAUAUAAUUUUGCUAUAAGGAUGAUGAAGGCUACACACUGCAAAUGCAAAUAAAUCAUAUUCUAAUAUUUGAAAAUAAUUUACUUAAAUCAGGAGAAAUAUCA
Long non-coding RNA from Ctenocephalides felis (cat flea), 1085 nucleotides. RefSeq lists it as uncharacterized. The transcript is spliced from 3 exons. Lineage: Eukaryota; Metazoa; Arthropoda; Insecta; Siphonaptera; Pulicidae. The record is from RefSeq and is a predicted model, not a curated record.